This is a small nuclear RNA of Pteronotus mesoamericanus, 107 nucleotides long. NCBI's taxonomy places the organism in Eukaryota, Metazoa, Chordata, Mammalia, Chiroptera, Mormoopidae. The record is from RefSeq and is a predicted model, not a curated record.
GUAUUCGCUGUGGCAGCACAUAUACUAAAAUUGCAACUAUAUAGACAAGAUUAGCUUGGCCCCCGAGCAAGGAUGGCACGUAUAUUUGUGAAGCAUUCUGCAGUUUU